This 450-nucleotide ribosomal RNA is filed under the name uncultured bacterium. Its description in RNAcentral is "partial 16S ribosomal RNA". It matches the Rfam family "Bacterial small subunit ribosomal RNA", at positions 338 to 795 of the family's 1533-position model. The record is from RNAcentral.
CCUACGGGAGGCUGCAGUAAGGAAUAUUGGUCAAUGGACGAAAGUCUGAACCAGCCAUGCCGCGUGGAGGAUGAAGGUCCUCUGGAUUGUAAACUUCUUUUAUAUGGGACGAAAAAAGGCCUUUCCAGGUCGUCUGACGGUACCAUAUGAAUAAGCACCGGCUAACUCCGUUCCAGCAGCCGCGGUAAUACGGAGGGUGCCGGCGUUAUCCGGAUUCACUGGGUUUAAGGGGUGCGGGGAUGGCAUGGGUGAAAUCCCCGAGCUUAACUUGGGAACGGCCAUUGAUACUAUCAGUCUUGAAUACCGUGGAGGUCAGCGGAAUAUGUCAUGUAGCGGUGAAAUGCUUAGAUAUGACAUAGAACACCAAUUGCGAAGGCAGCUGGCUACACGAGUAUUGACACUGAGGCACGAAAGCGUGGGGAUCAAACAGGAUUAGAUACCCCGGUAGUC